Molecule: ribosomal RNA, 462 nt
Filed under: uncultured bacterium
Lineage: Bacteria
Description: bacterial SSU rRNA
Rfam family: Bacterial small subunit ribosomal RNA
Source: RNAcentral
AACGAACGCUGGCGGCAUGCCUAACACAUGCAAGUCGAACGAGACCUUCGGGUCUAGUGGCGCACGGGUGCGUAACGCGUGGGAAUCUGCCCUUGGGUUCGGGAAUAACUUCGGGAAACUGAAGCUAAUACCGGAUGAUGACGUAAGUCCAAAGAUUUAUCGCCCAAGGAUGAGCCCGCGUAGGAUUAGCUAGUUGGUGAGGUAAAGGCUCACCAAGGCGACGAUCCUUAGCUGGUCUGAGAGGAUGAUCAGCCACACUGGGACUGAGACACGGCCCAGACUCCUACGGGAGGCAGCAGUGGGGAAUAUUGGACAAUGGGCGAAAGCCUGAUCCAGCAAUGCCGCGUGAGUGAUGAAGGCCUUAGGGUUGUAAAGCUCUUUUACCCGGGAUGAUAAUGACAGUACCGGGAGAAUAAGCUCCGGCGUAACUCCGUGCCAGCAGCCGCGGUAAAGUGACUACUG